Molecule: ribosomal RNA, 253 nt
Filed under: uncultured bacterium
Lineage: Bacteria
Description: partial 16S ribosomal RNA
Rfam family: Bacterial small subunit ribosomal RNA
Source: RNAcentral
UACAGAGGGUGCGAGCGUUAAUCGGAAUUACUGGGCGUAAAGCGCGCGUAGGCGGCUUUUCAAGUCGAUUGUGAAAUCCCCGGGCUUAACCUGGGAACUGCAGUCGAGACUGUCUAGCUAGAGUAUGGGAGAGGGAAGUGGAAUUUCGGGUGUAGCGGUGAAAUGCGUAGAUAUCUGAAGGAACAUCAGUGGCGAAAGCGACUUCCUGGACCAAUACUGACGCUCAUGUGCGAAAGCGUGGGGAGCAAACAGG